AUGGUUAAAGAUCUCUUGGCUAAUAAUAUUGAUGGGCAUGUUAUUUAUUUCUGUGAGGAAACCGCUAGAAUUGCUGAACCUGAUGCUAAAGAUAAACAUAGACCCGUUGUAGGCAUGCCUGUUAUUUCUGUUAAAAUAGGAGAUCAUUGUUAUCAUGGCUUAUGUGAUAUGGGUGCUAGUGCUAGUGCAAUACCUCAUUCUUUAUACGACGAAAUUAUGCAUGAUAUUGCGCCCGCUGAGUUAGAAGGCAUUGAUGUUACAAUUAAGCUUGCCAAUAGAGAUACUAUAUCACCGAUUGGGAUUGUUAGAGAUGUUGAAGUCUUGUGUGGGAAGGUUAAAUAUCCUGCUGAUUUUCUUGUUCUUGGUUCCCCACAAUAUAGCUUUUGUCCCAUUAUAUUUGGUAGACCCUUCUUGAACACUGUUAAUGCUAGGAUAGACUGCGAAAAGGAUGUUGUUACUAUUGGUUUAGGGGAUAUUACUCAUGAGUUUAAUUUUGCUAAAUUUCGUAGACAACCCCGUGAUGAGGAAUUGCCUAGUAAGGAUGAAAUUAUAGGUCUU
Molecule: ribosomal RNA, 558 nt
Filed under: Triticum aestivum (bread wheat)
Lineage: Eukaryota; Viridiplantae; Streptophyta; Magnoliopsida; Poales; Poaceae
Description: partial small subunit ribosomal RNA
Source: RNAcentral